Molecule: long non-coding RNA, 1437 nt
Organism: Malus domestica (apple)
Lineage: Eukaryota; Viridiplantae; Streptophyta; Magnoliopsida; Rosales; Rosaceae
Source: RefSeq, a predicted model, not a curated record
UUAUAACCCUAAAGAAGGUCUUCUUAGCUUCGCCUCCGCCUCUCUGGAAGCCAUUCAUUAUCCCGAACCCUUCUUCCUCGUCUGCAAAUCCAUUUCCUGUUUGCUUAUUUAGCUAAGAAUCCCAUCCCUCUCCCUUUUACUGAUCAGAAAAAGAAAACAAAAAACUUUUCUCCAUCUUAUUCUCUAUGUCGAUUUCGCGCACCGACUCCUUGACCGAUUUAGACGAUGAAGACGGGGAGCGUAUUGACUUGUCUCACAAAACUUGGGAUUUGGUGGCAUCGGUAAUUAAACAGAAAAUAAAAUGGCGAACUUGGCAAAGCUUGAUUUUGCUACCCUGGACAUUAUUGGGAAAAUUACCUUACAUGGGUACUGGAUACCAAGAUCCAUCUAGAAGCAGAGAAUCUUGGAGAUACCAUUAGGGAAGAGAACAGCUCAUCCUCUCAAGAUCGGGCGAAGGCCAUGAUUUUUAUUCGUCGCCAUCUUGAUGAGGGACUAAAGAGCAAAUACUUAACGGUUGAAGAUCCGUGAGCUCUCUGGAAUGCAUUGAGAAACAGAUACAAUCACCAGACAAUGGUGAUUCUUCUAAGAGCUCGCUAUGAGUAGACUCACCUAAAGAUCCAGGAUUUCAAGUCAAUGGCUGAGUGCAAUUCUGAUUUGUUCAGAAUUACCUCUCAGAUGAAGAUUUGUGAGGAUACCAUUAAUGAGGAAGAUAUGCUGGAAAAGACUUUCAGCACAUUUCAUGCAUCUAACGUGCUCUUGCAGCAGCAGUAUAGAGCGCGAGGCUUCACUGAAUACAACCAGCUGAUAUAUGUGCUCUUGGUAGCUGAACAAAAUAAUGAGCUACUGAUGAAAAAUCAUCAGUCCUGACCUAAGAAGUAAAUGUUGUUACCCUCAAAGUGAACGGCACAUCCUCUGGUGGCGAUAAUCAUAAACGAGGACGUGGCCACAAGUAAAGUCGAUGGAACAGGAAAUGCAAGAACUAUGGUGAUUAGUCUCACAACCAGGUUCCAAAGCAAAAUUCAGGCUCGAGUUUUAAAAAUGGAAAUCGCCACAAAGGCAAAGCUUGUAUGAAUAAUGCUUUUAGAAACUCUGAUGGAACCUGCCAUAGGUGUGGUGGCGAUGGGCAUUGGGCGCGUACUUGUCGUAUCCCAAAACAUCUGAUGGAUCUAUAUCAAGCCUUCCUUAAGGAGAAGGGUGUUGAGAAUAAUUUCCUCGACUAGGCUAGUCCAAUGGAUAUACCUGAUUCAGUGUGCGACUUAUUAGGAUAGUUGAACACAACCCACCUAGAUGUCUCAGACUUCAUUGUGGAAAAGAGGAAUAAAGUGUAUUAGUCCGACUAAAUCAUUUAUGUUUGUUGUACUUUUAUUAUUAUGAGCUUGUAGUUGAAAACCAGCAUUUCAAUUAAAUAAAAGUGGCAUUUAAAUUUUCUGUUAUAAA